Molecule: unclassified non-coding RNA, 380 nt
Filed under: uncultured delta proteobacterium
Lineage: Bacteria; Deltaproteobacteria
Description: contains 16S-23S intergenic spacer region
Source: RNAcentral
UCCGGUUUAACACCGGCAGUCUCCUUAGAGUGCCCAACUGAAUGGUGGCAACUAAGGACAAGGGUUGCGCUCGUUAAGGGACUUAACCCGACAUCUCACGAUACGAGCUGACGACAGCCAUGCAGCACCUGUACACCCGGUCUCCGAAGAGAAGGCCCUAUCUCUAGGACUGUCCGGGGAUUUCAAGCCCAGGUAAGGUUCUUCGCGUUGCAUCGAAUUGUAAACCACAUGCUCCACCGCUUGUGCGGGCCCCCGUCAAUUCCUUUGAGUUUUAAUCUUGCGACCGUACUUCCCAGGCGGGGUACUUAAUGCGUUAGCUUCGGCACUGCAGGGGUCAACACCCGCAACACCUAGUACCCAUCGUUUACGGCGUGGACUAC